ACAUGCCUACAACAUAGAGUCAAUGCACCAGAUCCUAUUAGAACUUUACAAUUAAGCACACUCAGGAUAUAGUAGUACUAGGAUGGGUGACCGCCCAGGAAGUCCUAGUGUUUUACAUGCC
Molecule: non-coding RNA, 121 nt
Organism: Picea glauca (white spruce)
Lineage: Eukaryota; Viridiplantae; Streptophyta; Pinopsida; Pinales; Pinaceae
Source: Rfam